UACGGAGGGUGCGAGCGUUACUCGGAUUUACUGGGCGUAAAGGGCGUGUAGGCGGCUUUUUAAGUCCGGGGCUAAAGACCAGGGCUCAACCCUGGAUUUGCCUUGGAUACUGGAAAGCUCGACUGCUGGAGAGGGCAGUGGAAUUUCCGGAGUAGCGGUGAAAUGCGCAGAUACCGGAAGGAACGCCAAUAGCGAAGGCAGCUGCCUGGGCAGUACGUGACGCUGAGGCGAGAAAGCGUGGGGAGCAAACCGG
RNAcentral lists this ribosomal RNA (253 nucleotides) under uncultured bacterium. Its description in RNAcentral is "partial 16S ribosomal RNA". It matches the Rfam family "Bacterial small subunit ribosomal RNA", at positions 524 to 776 of the family's 1533-position model. The record is from RNAcentral.